RNAcentral lists this small RNA (125 nucleotides) under Marmota monax (woodchuck). Lineage: Eukaryota; Metazoa; Chordata; Mammalia; Rodentia; Sciuridae. The record is from RNAcentral.
GCUGGGCGUGGUAGCGCACACCUGUAAUCCGAGCUGCUUGGGAGGCUGAGGCAGGAGGAUCGCAAGUUCAAAACGAACCUCAGCAAAAGUGAGGCACUAAGCAACUCAGUGAGACCCUGUCUCUA